CGGGGUGAGUAAUGUCUGGGAAACUGCCUGAUGGAGGGGGAUAACUGCUGGAAACGGUAGCUAAUACCGCAUAACGUCGCAGGACCAAAGAGGGGGACCUUCGGGCCUCUUGCCAUCGGAUGUGCCCAGAUGGGAUUAGCUAGUAGGUGGGGUAACGGCUCACCUAGGCGACGAUCCCUAGCUGGUCUGAGAGGAUGACCAGCCACACUGGAACUGAGACACGGUCCAG
Molecule: ribosomal RNA, 229 nt
Filed under: uncultured bacterium
Lineage: Bacteria
Description: partial 16S ribosomal RNA
Rfam family: Bacterial small subunit ribosomal RNA
Source: RNAcentral